Long non-coding RNA from Cyprinus carpio (common carp), 707 nucleotides. RefSeq lists it as uncharacterized. Lineage: Eukaryota; Metazoa; Chordata; Actinopteri; Cypriniformes; Cyprinidae. The record is from RefSeq and is a predicted model, not a curated record.
CUUUGAAGAGCUGCUUGAAAACUGGACAAAGACUUUGUUGUAGCAUCUGCUUACCACAGUAAACAUCUCCAACAAUGAACUAUAACUGGGGUAUGACUCCGAAUAACCAAAUGGUACCUUUUGGGUUUGGAAGACCUAUCUAUAAUGAUGAUUCGGAUGAUGAUGAUGAUGAACCUUCAAAUGCAAUGACUCUUGCACAGAUGUGAACAGAUAUGAGCCUUCCAUCAAACUUCUUCAAGGGUGGUGCACCUUCUCUUCCAAGAAAUGGUGAAGUGACUCGCUAUUAUCCUAAUUCAGGAAACGGUCCUCGCAGGCAAAAAAUUGUCCUAAAGAAUGGCCAAAUUGUCUUUGCUGAAGAAACAAAAUACGGCUCUUCAAGCUUUAAUGCACAACACCAAUUCAUUCAGAAAUAUAAAUGAAUUAUUGCUUAAUCUCUAUGCUUAUUCAAAAUGUUGUUUUUUUUUACUCUACUUGCUAUUGGCUUUAAAUUAACCAAUUACUAGCAUAGUUACCAUAAUCGCAUUUAAAGAUCUGUACUUUCGCCCAUCUCUACAGAAUCAUCAGUUGAAAGUAUGAAAUUAAAAUCUAUAAUUAUGUAUAAGAUUCACAUUUGUGCAGUUUCAGUUUCAGUUAAGUCAUUAACUGAAAUUAAUCAAGUACUUGUUGGGUUGCUUUUUGUCCUCAAAGAUUUAAUCAAUAAAAAUAAA